GACGAACGCUGGCGGCGUGCUUAACACAUGCAAGUCGAACGGAAAGGCCUGCUUUCCCUUGUGGAUUGCGGGUACUCGAGUGGCGAACGGGUGAGUAACACGUGAGUGAUCUGCCCCCAACUUGGGUAUAAGCCUGGGAAACUGGGUCUAAUUCCCGAUAGGACUGCAGGGUGGUGCCUGUGGUGGAAAACGAUUUUCUAGUGGUUGGGGAUGAGCUCGCGGCCUAUCAGCUUGUUGGUGGGGUAAUGGCCUACCAAGGCGGCGACGGGUAGCCGGCCUGAGAGGGUGGACGGCCACAUUGGGACUGAGAUACGGCCCAGACUCCUACGGCAGGCAGCAGUGGGGAAUAUUGCACAAUGGGCGGAAGCCUGAUGCAGCGACGCCGCGUGGGGGAUGACGGCCUUCGGGUUGUAAACUCCUUUCGACCGCGAGGAAGCCACCUGGUUGGAAGGGUGGUGACGGUAGUGGUAGAAGAAGCACCGGCUAACUACGUG
RNAcentral lists this ribosomal RNA (494 nucleotides) under uncultured bacterium. RNAcentral describes it as "partial 16S ribosomal RNA". It matches the Rfam family "Bacterial small subunit ribosomal RNA", at positions 28 to 507 of the family's 1533-position model. The record is from RNAcentral.